Molecule: ribosomal RNA, 861 nt
Filed under: uncultured Arthrobacter sp.
Lineage: Bacteria; Bacillati; Actinomycetota; Actinomycetes; Micrococcales; Micrococcaceae
Description: bacterial SSU rRNA
Rfam family: Bacterial small subunit ribosomal RNA
Source: RNAcentral
GUGCUUAACACAUGCAAGUCGAACGAUGAAGCCCAGCUUGCUGGGUGGAUUAGUGGCGAACGGGUGAGUAACACGUGAGUAACCUGCCCUUGACUCUGGGAUAAGCCUGGGAAACUGGGUCUAAUACUGGAUAUGACUUCUCACCGCAUGGUGGGGGGUGGAAAGAUUUAUUGGUCUUGGAUGGACUCGCGGCCUAUCAGCUUGUUGGUGAGGUAAUGGCUCACCAAGGCGACGACGGGUAGCCGGCCUGAGAGGGUGACCGGCCACACUGGGACUGAGACACGGCCCAGACUCCUACGGGAGGCAGCAGUGGGGAAUAUUGCACAAUGGGCGCAAGCCUGAUGCAGCGACGCCGCGUGAGGGAUGACGGCCUUCGAGUUGUAAACCUCUUUCAGUAGGGAAGAAGCGAAAGUGACGGUACCUGCAGAAGAAGCGCCGGCUAACUACGUGCCAGCAGCCGCGGUAAUACGUAGGGCGCGAGCGUUAUCCGGAAUUAUUGGGCGUAAAGAGCUCGUAGGCGGUUUGUCGCGUCUGCCGUGAAAGUCCGGGGCUUAACCCCGGAUCUGCGGUGGGUACGGGCAGACUAGAGUGCAGUAGGGGAGACUGGAAUUCCUGGUGUAGCGGUGAAAUGCGCAGAUAUCAGGAGGAACACCGAUGGCGAAGGCAGGUCUCUGGGCUGUAACUGACGCUGAGGAGCGAAAGCAUGGGGAGCGAACAGGAUUAGAUACCCUGGUAGUCCAUGCCGUAAACGUUGGGCACUAGGUGCGGGGGACAUUCCACGUUUUCCGCGCCGUAGCUAACGCAUUAAGUGCCCCGCCUGGGGAGUACGGCCGCAAGGCUAAAACUCAAAUGAAUUGACGG